RNAcentral lists this ribosomal RNA (1626 nucleotides) under Triticum aestivum (bread wheat). RNAcentral describes it as "partial small subunit ribosomal RNA". Lineage: Eukaryota; Viridiplantae; Streptophyta; Magnoliopsida; Poales; Poaceae. The record is from RNAcentral.
AUGGGACAAGGGGAGAAAGAUUCAGCUGAUAACUUGGUCUCUCCAUCUGAUGAUAGGAAUGAGCUGCAAGUGGAAGAUCUACGUGUGAAGGAAAGAUGCUUUGAGCAGAGAGAAGCUCUUCCUGGGGAGCCUCGCUGUGUUAUAUGUGGUCGAUACGGGGAAUAUAUAUGUGAUCAGACUGAUGAUGAUAUCUGUAGUGUGGAAUGCAAGACUGCUCUUCUUGCUAGAAUUGCUGCUGAAACAAAGAUACCAGUAAAAGCACCAGCACGCGUAAAAGUUCCGUUUGGUGAUGAGAGCUUCUGUGUCCGAGACAAUAAUUUUCCCGAUAUACCGAGUUUGCAUGCCAGCCAGAUCGCUUCACUGAGAAAUAAACUUGACAUUUGUGUCAAGGGUGAGGCAAUUCCUGAUCCAAUCAUGUGUUUCUCUUCCUGUGGUCUUCCUGAGAAGCUUGUGCACAAUCUUGAUGCUGCAGGGUAUACCAUGCCUACUCCGGUGCAGAUGCAAGUCAUCCCUGCAUCAAUAAGUAAUAGAAGCCUACUUGUCUCUGCAGAUACUGGUUCAGGGAAAACAGCUUCUUUUCUAGUUCCUAUAAUUGCACAUUGUUCACGGAGAGAGCUGCAGCAAUCUGAAAGCAAGCGUGGGCCCUUGGCUAUAGUCCUUGCUCCAACUAGGGAGCUAUGCCUACAGGUGGAGGAUCAAGCAAAAGUUCUUGGAAAGGGUUUACCAUUUAAAACUGCUCUAGUUGUUGGUGGAGAUCCCUUGGCUCAGCAAAUAUAUAGAAUUGAAAAUGGUGUCGAGUUAAUUGUGGGCACCCCAGGAAGACUAAUUGAUCUUCUGAUGAAACACAAUGUUGACCUUACAGAUGUGUCUGUGUUUGUUCUGGAUGAAGUGGACUGCCUGCUAGAGAGAGGAUUCAGAGAUCAGGCCAUGCAGAUCUUUCGUGCACUCUCAUGUCCACAGGUUAUGAUGUUUUCAGCAACAAUACAUCCAGAAAUUGAGAAAUUGUCAAACUCACUGUUGAACAACAUGAUACAUAUUUCUUGUGGGAACCCAGGUAAACCAAACAAAUCAGUUAGACAAGUGGUAAUUUGGGUGGAGUCUAAGCAGAAGAAGCAGAAGAUUUUCGAGAUAAUAAAAAGUAAGCAGCACUUUAAACCUCCUGCUGUUGUAUUUGUGAGUUCUAGAGUUGGUGCCGAUCUCUUGUCUGAAGCCAUUACUGCUGCUACUGGGUUGGAGGUUAUUUCUAUUCAUGGCGAGAAAACAAUGAAAGAGAGAAGAGAAAGAUUGAGACGGUUUCUCACAGGUGAAGUAUCUGUUGUUGUUUGUACAGGGGUCUUGGGACGUGGAAUGGAUCUUGUGAAAGUACAUCAAGUGAUUUUGUUUGACAUGCCAAAUUCCAUUGAUGAAUAUAUUCACCAAGUUGGAAGAGCGUCUCGGAUGGGUAAGGAGGGCGUGGCUAUUGUCUUUGUGAAUGAGGAAGAUAGGAAACUUUUUGGAGAGCUUGCUCAGGUUCUGAAGACUGCAGGAGCUCCAAUUCCUCGAGAACUCUCUAAUUCAAAAUUCACCAGCAGUGUUUCUCUUGGCACUGACAGGAAGAGAAAACUGAGUUCUCGGGCACAUUCUUGA